UACGGGGGGGGUAAGCGUUGUUCGGAAUUACUGGGCGUAAAGGGCUCGUAGGCGGCCAACUAAGUCAUACGUGAAAUCCCUCAGCUUAACUGGGGAACUGCGUGUGAUACUGGAUGGCUUGGAUUUGGGAGAGGGAUGCGGAAUUCCAGGUGUAGCGGUGAAAUGCGUAGAGAUAUGGAGGAACACCAGUGGCGAAGGCGACUUUCUGGUCUGUAACUGACACUGAGGCGCGAAAGCGUGGGGAGCAAACAGG
This 253-nucleotide ribosomal RNA is filed under the name uncultured bacterium. RNAcentral's name for it is "partial 16S ribosomal RNA". It matches the Rfam family "Bacterial small subunit ribosomal RNA", at positions 524 to 776 of the family's 1533-position model. The record is from RNAcentral.